This 496-nucleotide ribosomal RNA is filed under the name uncultured bacterium. RNAcentral describes it as "partial 16S ribosomal RNA". It matches the Rfam family "Bacterial small subunit ribosomal RNA", at positions 28 to 523 of the family's 1533-position model. The record is from RNAcentral.
GAUGAACGCUAGCGGCAGGCCUAACACACGCAAGUCGAGGGGUAGAAGGAGCUUGCUCCUUUGAGACCGGCGCACGGGUGCGUAACGCGUAUGCAAUCUACCUUUUACAGAGGGAUAGCCCAGAGAAAUUUGGAUUAAUACCUCAUAGUAUAUAUCAUUCGCAUGUUUGGUAUAUUAAAGUUCCAACGGUAAAAGAUGAGCAUGCGUCCCAUUAGUUAGUUGGUAAGGUAACGGCUUACCAAGACGAUGAUGGGUAGGGGUCCUGAGAGGGAGAUCCCCCACACUGGUACUGAGACACGGACCAGACUCCUACGGGAGGCAGCAGUGAGGAAUAUUGGUCAAUGGACGCAAGUCUGAACCAGCCAUGCCGCGUGCAGGAAGACGGUCCUAUGGAUUGUAAACUGCUUUUGUACGGGAAGAAACACUCCUACGUGUAGGAGCCUGACGGUACCGUAAGAAUAAGGAUCGGCUAACUCCGUGCCAGCAGCCGCCGCGG